Molecule: small RNA, 91 nt
Filed under: Xenorhabdus vietnamensis
Lineage: Bacteria; Pseudomonadati; Pseudomonadota; Gammaproteobacteria; Enterobacterales; Morganellaceae
Description: RprA
Source: RNAcentral
AGGCUAUAACGCCAUAGCCUGGGUACAAUGAAGUAAUAUAUAUUGCUGUGUGUAGUCUUUGCCUGUCAGCCCAUGAUAGGCUUUUUUUUAU